This 238-nucleotide ribosomal RNA is filed under the name uncultured bacterium. RNAcentral describes it as "partial 16S ribosomal RNA". It matches the Rfam family "Bacterial small subunit ribosomal RNA", at positions 96 to 334 of the family's 1533-position model. The record is from RNAcentral.
CGGCGGACGGGUGAGUAACGCGUGGGUAACCUGCCUCAUACAGGGGGAUAACAGUUGGAAACGGCUGCUAAUACCGCAUAAGCGCACAGUACCGCAUGGUACGGUGUGAAAAACUCCGGUGGUAUGAGAUGGACCCGCGUCUGAUUAGGUAGUUGGUGGGGUAACGGCCUACCAAGCCGACGAUCAGUAGCCGACCUGAGAGGGUGACCGGCCACAUUGGGACUGAGGCACGGCCCAA